UGGCUCAGGAUGAACGCUGGCGGCACGCCUAACACAUGCAAGUCGAACGGAGUUUAAGAGAGCUUGCUCUUUAAACUUAGUGGCGGACGGGUGAGUAACACGUGAGCAACCUGCCUUCAGAGAGGAUAGCUUCUAGGAAACGGAUGGUAAUACCUCAUAAUAUAUGAAUUUGGCAUCUUAUUCAUAUCAAAGAUUUAUCGCUGAAAGAUGGGCUCGCGUCUGAUUAGCUAGUUGGUGAGGUAACGGCCCACCAAGGCAACGAUCAGUAGCCGGACUGAGAGGUUGAACGGCCACAUUGGGACUGAGACACGGCCCAGACUCCUACGGGAGGCAGCAGUGGGGAAUAUUGCACAAUGGGCGCAAGCCUGAAUGCAGCGAUGCCGCGUGAGGGAAGAAGGUUUUCGGAUUGUAAACCUCUGUCAUCGGGGACGAAAAUGACGGUACCCGAGAAGGAAGCUCCGGCUAACUACGUGCCAGCAGCAGC
This 484-nucleotide ribosomal RNA is filed under the name uncultured bacterium. RNAcentral describes it as "bacterial SSU rRNA". It matches the Rfam family "Bacterial small subunit ribosomal RNA", at positions 20 to 518 of the family's 1533-position model. The record is from RNAcentral.